AUUGAACGCUGGCGACAGGCCUAACACAUGCAAGUCGAGCGAGCGGCGGACGGGUGAGUAAUGUAUGGGGACUGCCCGAUAGAGGGGGAUACCUACUGGAAACGGUUGCUAAUACCGCAUACUAUCGGAUAACCCAUAUGGGAUUAGCUAGUAGGUGGGGUAAAGGCUCACCUAGGCGACGAUCUCUAGCUGGUCUGAGAGGAUGAUCAGCCAGACAGGGACUGAGACACGGCCCAGACUCCUACGGAGGCAGCAGUGGGGAAUGUUGCACAAUGGGCGCAAGCCGGAUGCAGCCAUGCCGUGUGUAUGAAGAAGGCCUGAGGGUUGUAAAGUACUUUCAGCGGGGAGGAGUUACCCGCAGAAGAAUCACAGGCAAACUCCGUGCCAGCAGCCGCGGUAAUAC
Molecule: ribosomal RNA, 403 nt
Filed under: uncultured bacterium
Lineage: Bacteria
Description: partial 16S ribosomal RNA
Rfam family: Bacterial small subunit ribosomal RNA
Source: RNAcentral